Molecule: RNase P RNA, 440 nt
Filed under: Nitrospinae bacterium RIFCSPLOWO2_01_FULL_39_10
Lineage: Bacteria; Pseudomonadati; Nitrospinota
Description: RNase P RNA component class A
Rfam family: Bacterial RNase P class A
About the family: Ribonuclease P (RNase P) is a ubiquitous endoribonuclease, found in archaea, bacteria and eukarya as well as chloroplasts and mitochondria. Its best characterised activity is the generation of mature 5'-ends of tRNAs by cleaving the 5'-leader elements of precursor-tRNAs.
Source: RNAcentral
UGGAGCAGAUGGAUGACCGUCCCGCACAUAACUUAUGUGAGGGGAGGAAAGUCCGGACUCCAGAGGGCAGGGUGCUUCCUAACAGGAAGGAGGGGCGACCCUACGGAUAGUGCCACAGAAAAUAUACCGCCCCAGAGGCAGGGGCUGGGGAUUAGAGGCUGGAGACUGGUAAAUAUUUUUACAAGCCCCUAACCUCAAGUCUCCAGUCCCUGUCUUUUGGGUAAGGGUGAAAAGGCGAGGUAAGAGCUCACCGCCAUGGUGGUGACAUCAUGGGCAUGGAAAACCCCACCCGGAGCAAGGCUAAAUAGGAAGGCGAUGGGACUGCCCGUCCGAUGCCUUCGGGUAAGCCGCUAAACCUUUAUGGCAACAUAAAGGGUAGAUAAAUGGUCAUCACCUGAUUAAACGGGGGACAAAAUCCGGCUUAUAAUCUACUCCAGCAA